Molecule: long non-coding RNA, 601 nt
Organism: Oncorhynchus gorbuscha (pink salmon)
Lineage: Eukaryota; Metazoa; Chordata; Actinopteri; Salmoniformes; Salmonidae
Exons: 4
Source: RefSeq, a predicted model, not a curated record
UAGCGGAGGGAACAGAACACCAUGAAGAAACACCCAGUCAUACUGCUGCAGAGAAACCUACAGAGAGUAGGCCUGGGGAGGAUGCUGUGUCUGCUGAAGAGUCUCACUCUGUGAAGCUACAGCAGGAGGCCCAGGAAACACAACCAGAGAGGGACAAGGAUUACACCCCUGUUGUAGAGAGUCCCACCCAUGACCUUCCUUUUGACCCUGCCCCUGACUCUACCCCUGCCCUUGACUCCACCUCUGCUAGUGUUGCUCCUCUGAGCUCUCUGUUAGAAGUCCCCGUCCCCACAGGGCUUGACUCAGAUACACACAGCCAAUCCAGAAGCCUCCCUGGGAACCCAGCCCCUCCCAUCUCUGACCCUGAUUCGUUCUCCGACUCCUACACCCACAUUAGCUCCUCCCCCGACCUUGAAGAGCCCCCAGCCUUGCUGCUCAACACUGAGCCACCGGAAGAGGUGGGGCUUGUACAGGAAGCGGAGGGGUAUAUACAGGAUGUGCAUCAUCAUUAUGAGGAGGGGCUUGUGCAGGAAGAGGAGGAGUCUGAUCUGUCUGAGGUCAGGGCCAAGACAGACUCCCAUCUGGAAGGGGAAGUGGUGGG